CACCUCUCCUAGACCCCAUUUAAGGGCUGACUGCCACUAAGGAAGGGUUUCUUGUUGGAGAUCCCUUCUUUUGGAGUUUUCUGUUGCGAGCCUAGGAUAUGAUCAGUGGGAGCUUCACUGGACUGCCAUGGCUACUCUGUUAUGACAAGUAGUGGCACGGCAACUUCAUCUGCCAUUUCCCUCUGGACCCUUAGAUGCAUCUUAUCUGAUCCCAUGGACUUGUUCUCUUUCAAGCUUGAGACCAUCUAAGGUUCUCACAUCGUACUGCCUUUGAUUUCAGGGCAGAUCUACAACAUCCUGCAGAAGAAAAUUAGGUUGAAGACAAGUCUGUAAUUGUGAAGAUAUUUUUCCACUCUCUGACAGGUUACUCAUUAGCAAUAUUAUGAAUAGGAGAUAGGUUGUUAAGCUUGGAUUAAAUGUCUUAAAUCAUUACGCUCUAUCUUAUUUCAUUGUUGAAUGGGAUUUAAAAAAAAAAAAAAGGCUGUAAGUUUUCCUAAGAAAAGGUACAAGAUAGAUAUAAAAUUUUAAAAUAAAGGUUUUUUUCCUUUAAA
Phasianus colchicus (ring-necked pheasant) is the source of this 551-nucleotide non-coding RNA. The record is from RefSeq and is a predicted model, not a curated record. Lineage: Eukaryota; Metazoa; Chordata; Aves; Galliformes; Phasianidae.